GCACGACUUCAAAAAGGUGCCAAACACAGUUUUAUAAGUCGAUUUUAUGAGACAGCACAACGCAGAAAGAAGAUAUGAAUACAUCUUUGGGCACACUAUGAGAGAUACUUUAAGGUACUGUGAUUAUGACCCAAAAUGGGA
Molecule: long non-coding RNA, 141 nt
Organism: Bufo bufo (common toad)
Lineage: Eukaryota; Metazoa; Chordata; Amphibia; Anura; Bufonidae
Exons: 3
Source: RefSeq, a predicted model, not a curated record